UACAGGGGGGGCAAGUGUUGUUCGGAAUUACUGGGCGUAAAGGGUUCGUAGGUGGCCACUUAAGUCAGACGUGAAAUCCCUCAGCUUAACUGGGGAACUGCGUCUGAUACUGAGUGGCUUGAGUGCAGGAGAGGAAUGCGGAAUUCCAGGUGUAGCGGUGAAAUGCGUAGAUAUCUGGAGGAACACCGGUGGCGAAGGCGGCAUUCUGGACUGUAACUGACACUGAGGAACGAAAGCCAGGGGAGCAAACGGG
RNAcentral lists this ribosomal RNA (253 nucleotides) under uncultured bacterium. RNAcentral's name for it is "partial 16S ribosomal RNA". It matches the Rfam family "Bacterial small subunit ribosomal RNA", at positions 524 to 776 of the family's 1533-position model. The record is from RNAcentral.